This 431-nucleotide ribosomal RNA is filed under the name Xanthomonas vesicatoria. Its description in RNAcentral is "bacterial SSU rRNA". It matches the Rfam family "Bacterial small subunit ribosomal RNA", at positions 81 to 508 of the family's 1533-position model. The record is from RNAcentral. Lineage: Bacteria; Pseudomonadati; Pseudomonadota; Gammaproteobacteria; Lysobacterales; Lysobacteraceae.
UCCUUGGGUGGCGAGUGGCGGACGGGUGAGGAAUACAUCGGAAUCUACUCUUUCGUGGGGGAUAACGUAGGGAAACUUACGCUAAUACCGCAUACGCCCUUCGGGGGAAAGCAGGGGAUCGCAAGACCUUGCGCGAUUGAAUGAGCCGAUGUCGGAUUAGCUAGUUGGCGGGGUAACGGCCCACCAAGGCGACGAUCCGUAGCUGGUCUGAGAGGAUGAUCAGCCACACUGGAACUGAGACACGGUCCAGACUCCUACGGGAGGCAGCAGUGGGGAAUAUUGGACAAUGGGCGCAAGCCUGAUCCAGCCAUACCGCGUGGGUGAAGAAGGCCUUCGGGUUGUAAAGCCCUUUUGUUGGGAAAGAAAAGCAUUCGGUUAAUACCCGAGUGUUCUGACGGUACCCAAAGAAUAAGCACCGGCUAACUUCGUGC